Molecule: ribosomal RNA, 429 nt
Filed under: uncultured archaeon
Lineage: Archaea
Description: bacterial SSU rRNA
Rfam family: Archaeal small subunit ribosomal RNA
Source: RNAcentral
UACCAGCUCUCCGAGUGGUAGGGAUGAUUAUUGGGCUUAAAGCGUCCGUAGCCGGCUUAGCAAGUCUCCUGUUAAAUUCAGCGACCUAAUCGUUGAGCCGCGGGAGAUACUACUAGGCUAGGAGGCGGGAGAGGUCGACGGUACUUCUGGGGUAGGGGUGAAAUCCUAUAAUCCCGGGAGGACCACCAGUGGCGAAGGCUGUCGACUAGAACGCGCUCGACGGUGAGGGACGAAAGCUGGGGGAGCGAACCGGAUUAGAUACCCGGGUAGUCCCAGCUGUAAACGAUGCGGGCUAGGUGUUGGGGUGGCUACGUGCCACUUCAGUGCCGCAGGGAAGCCAUUAAGCCCGCCGCCUGGGGAGUACGGCCGCAAGGCUGAAACUUGAAGGAAUUGGGCGGGGAGCACCACAAGGCGUGAAGCUUGCGGUUC